AGAAAAUUUAUCGCAAACUAAUACUCUAAAUAUGAUAACCUAUGAUAAGUGGUAAGAAACUAUGAUAAAUUAUUUAAUUUAAAACUCACUAGUCAAAAUAAUUAAAUAACUUAUUAAACCAUAAAGAGCUUCAAGUAAUUAAAAAUUUGCUAAAACUCGACAAAUUGGGUGAGGUCAAGACAACCUGCUGUUAUUCAAGCCCCUAACUUGCUGCCCCACCACCACCUCUCUAAUCUCUAUUAAAGAACACCACAUCAAACAACCCCAUCAACCCUUGCUUGCUAUCAUUCUAUUCUCACACACCCUACUUGCCAGGCACCUACCACAAACCGACAAUACUAGCAGUAGCACACUAACUCCCACUCAUCCACCAAAGCGCAACCACGCACCAAACCAAUAUUCCCUUACAACAACAACAUCCAUGUAGCAGCGGCGCAAAUAACAGCCACACAUCUAGCAGCCUUGCAUUCACAACCCAUUGUUGCACCUGCUCCUUCCUCGCUCCCAUUCCAGCGACCACCCAUAACCAUUGACCCAUUGUCACGGCAACUAAACAACAGCACUAUCUGAUCUUCCCUUUUCAUUCAGAUUAUAUUCUGAUCUUCAUUUUAAGAUAUGUAUUAAUGUAUUAUGAUGAAAAUAAUUAGUGGAGGAGAUCGGUCUUUUGCCUCUGCUAGUUCAUCUUCAACAUCAAGGGGUUGUGGUGGACUGAGAACAAAGUGCACUUGCAGUUCUGAUGCGGUGGUACGAAGUGUGAAAAAUGGGCUGAAUGUUGGUAGGAAGUUUUUCGGUUGUCCAAAAUGGCCGUUGAUGAGCUUCGAUUUCAAAUCUUUGAAAGGGAUACUACAAUGGCUGAGAUGGAGUUUGAGCGUAAUGCGUUGGAGGAAAAGGUGAAGAAACUGGUAAGGAAGAAGGACAAGUUGGAAGAUGAUGUGAAGCAAAUGAAGGCUGAUCUUUAUCAAUUAAGGGUUGAGAUUAUGAUGAGUUUUAUAAAUGAAAGGCACAUGUCAAUGGCACAACUAUUUUCAUGGGUUUUAUUUGGCGUUGUGAUCUUUUACUUAAAAUAGGAUUUUAUAGUACUAUGAUCAGACAAUUGUAUAGUGUAAUCUAUUUCAUAAAAGUCAGUUUGUGGCAUUGAUGAGUUAAAUGAAGCAGCUAUUUGUGUUAAUUUAAGUACUUUUAUGCAAUGAAAUCUUUAAUGUGUGUUAAUUUGUUACAUGCAAGUGAGAAAUUCAAAGUAAAUCCAUCAAAAGAUUGCUGCUUGUCACAAUUAGUUAAAAUGUUAUCUAAGUUACACACAACUUCAAAAUAUCAAACAAAAUGAAAGUCAAAGUUCUGUUCCAAUUCCUAAGUUGACAACACCAAUCACUUGUACAUAGUCACUGAGUUUGCUAAAGCACAGUAGGUGCUUGGCUUGACUGGAUGAGAACAACAGGCUGCUGCAACUGGGUUGAGGCUUGGCCUGCCUCUACCCCUUUGUAGCUGUCACAACUGAACCAUCUGCUUCAAACAAAACCCCACCUCCCUUUGGCAACUGAAAUUCAUAACCAUAUAAGCAUUAGAUAGUAGCAGAAAAAAACAAAAAGGAAAAAAACAUUUACAAAACCAAUGAAAACAACCAAGUGCUGAAAAAUGCAAGAUGAGACAGCAAUACCU
Molecule: long non-coding RNA, 1656 nt
Organism: Chenopodium quinoa (quinoa)
Lineage: Eukaryota; Viridiplantae; Streptophyta; Magnoliopsida; Caryophyllales; Amaranthaceae
Exons: 3
Source: RefSeq, a predicted model, not a curated record